CCCUUAGAGUUUGAUCCUGGCUCAGAUUGAACGCUGGCGGCAUGCCUUACACAUGCAAGUCGAACGGCAGCGCGGGGGCAACCCUGGCGGCGAGUGGCGAACGGGUGAGUAACAUAUCGGAACGUGCCCUGGAGUGGGGGAUAACUAGUCGAAAGAUUAGCUAAUACCGCAUACGAUCUCAGGAUGAAAGUGGGGGACCGCAAGGCCUCACGCUCGUGGAGCGGCCGAUAUCUGAUUAGCUAGUUGGCGGGGUAUGAGCCCACCAAGGCGACGAUCAGUAGCUGGUCUGAGAGGACGACCAGCCACACUGGGACUGAGACACGGCCCAGACUCCUACGGGAGGCAGCAGUGGGGAAUUUUGGACAAUGGGGGCAACCCUGAUCCAGCAAUGCCGCGUGAGUGAAGAAGGCCUUCGGGUUGUAGAGCUCUUUUGUCCGGAAAGAAAUCCCCUGGGAUAAUACCCCGGGGGGAUGACGGUACCGGAAGAAUAAGCACCGGCUAACUACGUGCCAGCAGCCGCGGUAAUACGUAGGGUGCAAGCGUUAAUCGGAAUUACUGGGCGUAAAGCGUGCGCAGGCGGUUGUGCAAGACAGAUGUGAAAUCCCCGGGCUUAACCUGGGAACUGCAUUUGUGACUGCACGGCUAGAGUGUGUCAGAGGGGGGGUAGAAUUCCACGUGUAGCAGUGAAAUGCGUAGAGAUGUGGAGGAAUACCGAUGGCGAAGGCAGCCCCCUGGGAUAACACUGACGCUCAUGCACGAAAGCGUGGGGAGCAACAGAUAGAUACCCUGGUAGUCACGCCCUAAACGAUGUCACUAGUUGUCGGGUCUAAUUGACUGGUACGCAGCUAACGCGUGAGUGACCGCCUGGGGAGUACGUCGCAGAUAAACUCAAAGGAUUGA
RNAcentral lists this ribosomal RNA (900 nucleotides) under uncultured bacterium. Its description in RNAcentral is "bacterial SSU rRNA". It matches the Rfam family "Bacterial small subunit ribosomal RNA", at positions 1 to 913 of the family's 1533-position model. The record is from RNAcentral.